AUUACCAAACAAAUUGACGUCAUCUUUUAUGCUGCUGGCAGAAUAGUGUGUCUCUGAUGUAACCUCGCGUCUCAAAGUAGCGGUCAUCUGAAUGAACAAGGAAGUAACAAGACCAUUUAUUUACUGUACGAGAUGGCCAUCAUUCGUAUGUUGUUCUCUUUCCUGAACAAUCCACGAGUCAUUGAGAAACUAGCGGAGUCUCGUCCUAUCCGACGUGCGGCACAGAUCGCAGCUUUUGCGAUCAUCAAAGCACAAAUCGCUGGGAGGGGUGCAACGGCGAAGGUCCUGAAGUCAGACACCCUACGCCAGGUUCGGCAAGAGGCUAACGGCCGGAUUCCCCGAGACGUUGGUGACAUCGGGACCCGGUUCAGAAGAGUGAGGGAGACUUUUGUCAAGGAGUUGAAAGAUGGCUUCAGAGACGCUCAGGGACAAAUAAAGAAAUGAAGAAAUUAAUGUGAAAUAAAAUUCCUGUGAUAGAACUCUGUAUGACAGACAAACAAUCAUGUGAACUAUUGAUAACGUGACUGACAACAUAACCCGUCCCACAACUGUCAAGUCCGACUACUGUUACAUCACUGAGACAAUCUUUUAAUAUAUUGAAGGGAACACUAAGCUACUGGUAAACCAGCUCCCAUGUCUCAAAACAUACUCAAGAUUAAUUUUCCAUCAGGGAGAUAUCAUCACGUAAUGAAUCAGGGGUGCAACUUUCACUGGGGAUGGAGGGGCAUGUCCCCCCCCCACAUCCUGAAAUGGCCUUUUUGCCCCCCCCCCCAGUUUUAUAUUUGGAAUGUGAUACAAAACAUGGCAUCGGUGUGCUUUAGGACCAUGUGGACGCCUCUGAGCAGUUGGGUAGGCUGUUUGGACUGUUUAUCUGACUGGGUAAAAAUGUUUUACCAAAGUUGAGCCCUUGUAAUGAAUGUUGGCGUUUGUGGUGGAUUAGCCUACUUUAACACGAAUGGGUUUGUGGUGGGUUAGCCUACUGUAACAGGUCUGGGUUUGUGGUGGGUUAGCCUACUGUAACAGGUCUGGGUUUGUGGUGGGUUAGCCUACUGUAACAGGUCUGGGUUUGUGGUGGGUUAGCCUACUGUAACAGGUCUGGGUUUGUGGUGGGUUAGCCUACUGUAACAGGUCUGGGUUUGUGGUGGGUUAGCCUACUUUAACACGAAUGGGUUUGUGGUGGGUUAGCCUACUGUAACAGGUCUGGGUUUGUGGUGGGUUAGCCUACUGUAACAGGUCUGGGUUUGUGGUGGGUUAGCCUACUGUAACAGGUCUGGGUUUGUGGUGGGUUAGCCUACUGUAACACGUCUGCAUGCUGGAGACAGAGAUUCGUUGCAAUCUACACAGUCGUCUUUAUUCAGGAGUUUGUGUUUGUAGAUAUGGAAUUGUCUACCUGAUUUGACUUGCAGAUUACCACCAUAUAGUAUGUUUGCUGUAAUGCAGCCCCACGUCAGUUCCCAUGACAUAUGACUUGAGGUGUCUAAAGGUUUGGAUUUUCCUCACCUAUUGGACAAAUCUUAGUGUGUUUUUAAAUUAUAUUUUACCAAUAAAAGAUCAUUCAGAGGAAAAAUGACUGGACAACA
Salvelinus namaycush (lake trout) is the source of this 1580-nucleotide long non-coding RNA. RefSeq lists it as uncharacterized. NCBI's taxonomy places the organism in Eukaryota, Metazoa, Chordata, Actinopteri, Salmoniformes, Salmonidae. The record is from RefSeq and is a predicted model, not a curated record. The transcript has 2 exons.